UAUCAAAAACAUGUCUUUAUGAAGUUUAUGUAAAGUCUAGCCUGCCCAGUGACAUUAAAGUUUAACGGCCGCGGUAGCAUGACCGUGCUAAGGUAGCAUAAUAAUUUGUCCCUUAAUUGGGGACUGGUAUAAACGGCUGAACAAGAAAUUAACUGUCUCUACUAUAAAACUUGAAAUUAACGUUUAAGUGAAAAGGCUUAAAUGAAAUAGGGGGACGAUAAGACCCUAUAAAUCUUUAUAGCUUUGAUUAUAAGUUUUAGAGAUUAGUUAUAAGUCUAAAAUUAUUUUUUGAGCUAUUUUGUUGGGGCGACAAAAGUAUAACAAGUAACUGCUUUGGUUAAUAAAUUAAUUAUUUUUAUAAUGUUAUUUUAAAGAUCCUUCUUUGAAGAUGACAGAAUAAGUUACUUUAGGGAUAACAGCGUAAUCUUCUUUGAGAGUCCUUAUCGAAAAGAGGGGUUGCGACCUCGAUGUUGAAUUAAAAAACCUUUAUGGUGCAGCAGCUAUUAGAGGAGGUCUGUUCGACCUUUAAAUUUUUACGUGAUCUGAGUUCAGACCGGAC
RNAcentral lists this ribosomal RNA (559 nucleotides) under Panulirus interruptus (California spiny lobster). Its description in RNAcentral is "partial 16S ribosomal RNA". It matches the Rfam family "Bacterial large subunit ribosomal RNA", at positions 1805 to 2621 of the family's 2925-position model. Lineage: Eukaryota; Metazoa; Arthropoda; Malacostraca; Decapoda; Palinuridae. The record is from RNAcentral.